Molecule: transfer-messenger RNA, 390 nt
Filed under: Streptosporangiaceae
Lineage: Bacteria; Bacillati; Actinomycetota; Actinomycetes; Streptosporangiales
Also listed under: 1 other name
Description: NEAU-GS5 sp017592665 Standard tmRNA
Rfam family: transfer-messenger RNA
About the family: Bacterial tmRNA, also known as 10Sa RNA or SsrA, is named for its dual tRNA and mRNA-like properties. Its role is to liberate the mRNA from a stalled ribosome. To accomplish this part of the tmRNA is used as a reading frame that ends in a translation stop signal.
Source: RNAcentral
GGGGGUGACCGGUUUCGACUUCGACAUUGCGAGACAGUGGGAAGCGGGCCGAGGACGGCGGACAUAACCUCGUUAAUACUGUGACCGCAAACCAAUAAGUGCCAACUCUACGCGCACUCAGGUUCUGACCCAGGACACCCUGGGUCUCGCUGCCUAAACAGCGAAGUAACCUUGUCAGCCCGGAAGUGCCUCCGGUCCGGUGCUGGCAUCGCUAGGAGGCUCAACCGCACGACCCGGUCGCGGGGCCGUGCGGGAAAUCUGACAGCGACUGAGCCCAUCGGCGACUUGCCUGCGAGCUUGCCGGGGCUGAGAAAUCAGUAGCAGGCUGCGCCCGGAGAAUCCCUGACUCGGUGCCGAAGGACGCGGGUUCGAUUCCCGCCACCUCCACGG